GACGAACCGUCCGAACGUUAUUCGGAAUCACUGGGCUUAAAGGGUGCGUAGGCGGCGCGGAAAGUAGGGUGUGAAAGCCCUCGGCUUAACCGAGGAAUUGCGCCCUAAACUACCGUGCUUGAGGAACCUAGAGGUGAGCAGAACUGAUGGUGGAGCGGUGAAAUGCGUUGAUAUCAUCAGGAAUACCGGAGGCGAAGGCGGCUCACUGGGGGUUUUCUGACGCUGAGGAACGAAAGCCAGGGGAGCGAACGGG
RNAcentral lists this ribosomal RNA (253 nucleotides) under uncultured bacterium. Its description in RNAcentral is "partial 16S ribosomal RNA". It matches the Rfam family "Bacterial small subunit ribosomal RNA", at positions 524 to 776 of the family's 1533-position model. The record is from RNAcentral.